GUGAAUGUGCCGAGAAGUUUGCCAACAGUUGGCAUUUUUAUAUUACUUAUAUAAUAUAAUAAUUUAAACUAUUAUAAAAAUGGUACUAAAUAUCGAACUUCGUCGUGGAAACUGAGGCAAAACCUGUGAAAAAAACAAUAAAUAAAUAAAAAAACACCUUGCAAAAAGAAGUAUGACUUUUAGAACAACUUAAAUGCGCGGCGGGAAAGAGAACUGUCAAGUCAAAGGUGAAAAAUAGUGAUGUGUCAUUAUUGGAGCUAAAUUGGAAAUGUUCUUAGUCGAUCGAUUGCGAAAUAACCUACCUGGCAGUGGGCGCGAGGUGCGUCAUAGCGACGAGCAUGAGGUGCAGGAAGUCAGCGGCGGCGCUCUGUACGCACCAGUUGAGGCGGGUGCCGCCCCAGCGCCCUGCGGCCGCCGAGCGCUCCAACGCGCGAGACAGCCGUCCCGAGAGGAACGCCGUUGAUGGCGCUUCUGAAUCUGUUGAGUAUAUUAUUCAGUUUCAAUUCGAUAUUAUUUACUGUCUACAAAAUCAGACAACAAUUCAACUCUUUUUAUAACUAGCCCAAUUUUUUGGUACGGAAAUAGUUUAAUUAUGAACUGGGUUAUUGUUGUUAGAUAUUCGUCCUACUGCUUGGAACAUGCUCCCUUCCUUCAAAAUAAGUAAGGAACAUAAGGAAAUAAGGCUAACGCAAAGUUACUAUAGUAACCUAUCUUGCGACAACAACUCUGUGAAAUAAAUAUCUGAAAAAAGUGUUUAUAAA
Molecule: long non-coding RNA, 761 nt
Organism: Pectinophora gossypiella (pink bollworm)
Lineage: Eukaryota; Metazoa; Arthropoda; Insecta; Lepidoptera; Gelechiidae
Exons: 2
Source: RefSeq, a predicted model, not a curated record